Molecule: ribosomal RNA, 428 nt
Filed under: uncultured bacterium
Lineage: Bacteria
Description: bacterial SSU rRNA
Rfam family: Bacterial small subunit ribosomal RNA
Source: RNAcentral
AGAGUUUGAUCCUGGCUCAGAUUGAACGCUGGCGGCAUGCUUUACACAUGCAAGUCGAACGGCAGCACGGGUGCUUGCACCUGGUGGCGAGUGGCGAACGGGUGAGUAAUGCACCGGAACGUACCCAGUAAUGGGGGAUAACACAUCGAAAGAUGUGCUAAUACCGCAUACGCCCUGAGGGGGAAAGCGGGGGAUCGCAAGACCUCGCGUGAUUGGAGCGGCCGAUGUCGGAUUAGCUAGUUGGUGGGGUAAAGGCUCACCAAGGCGACGAUCCGUAGCGGGUCUGAGAGGAUGACCCGCCACACUGGGACUGAGACACGGCCCAGACUCCUACGGGAGGCAGCAGUGGGGAAUUUUGGACAAUGGGGGCAACCCUGAUCCAGCCAUGCCGUGUGAGUGAAGAAGGCCUUCGGGUUGUAAAGCUCUUU